AGAGUUUGAUCAUGGCUCAGAACGAACGCUGGCGGCAUGCCUAACACAUGCAAGUCGAACGAGACCUUCGGGUCUAGUGGCGCACGGGUGCGUAACACGUGGGAACCUGCCCUUAGGUUCGGAAUAACUCACCGAAAGGUGUGCUAAUACCGGAUAAUGUCUUCGGACCAAAGAUUUAUCGCCUUUGGAUGGGCCCGCGUAGGAUUAGCUAGUUGGUGAGGUAAUGGCUCACCAAGGCGACGAUCCUUAGCUGGUCUUAGAGGAUGAUCAGCCACACUGGGACUGAGACACGGCCCAGACUCCUACGGGAGGCAGCAGUGGGGAAUAUUGGACAAUGGGCGAAAGCCUGAUCCAGCAAUGCCGCGUGAGUGAUGAAGGCCUUAGGGUUGUAAAGCUCUUAUACCAGGGAUGAUAAUGACAGUACCUGGAGAAUAAGCUCCGGCUAACUCCGUGCCAGCCGCCGCGGUAAUAC
RNAcentral lists this ribosomal RNA (472 nucleotides) under uncultured bacterium. Its description in RNAcentral is "bacterial SSU rRNA". It matches the Rfam family "Bacterial small subunit ribosomal RNA", at positions 8 to 526 of the family's 1533-position model. The record is from RNAcentral.